GGGUUGUGAGGUUAAGCGACUAAGCGUACACGGUGGAUGCCCUGGCAGUCAGAGGCGAUGAAGGGCGUGCUAAUCUGCGAUAAGCGCCGGUAAGGUGAUAUGAACCGUUAUAACCGGCGAUACCCGAAUGGGGAAACCCAGUGUGAUUCGUCACACUAUCAUUAACUGAAUCCAUAGGUUAAUGAGGCGAACCGGGGGAACUGAAACAUCUAAGUACCCCGAGGAAAAGAAAUCAACCGAGAUUCCCCCAGUAGCGGCGAGCGAACGGGGAGGAGCCCAGAGCCUGAAUCAGCAUGUGUGUUAGUGGAAGCGUCUGGAAAGGCGCGCGAUACAGGGUGACAGCCCCGUACACAAAAGCGCAUGUGUUGUGAGCUCGAUGAGUAGGGCGGGACACGUGGUAUCCUGUCUGAAUAUGGGGGGACCAUCCUCCAAGGCUAAAUACUCCUGACUAACCGAUAGUGAACCAGUACCGUGAGGGAAAGGCGAAAAGAACCCCGGCGAGGGGAGUGAAAAAGAACCUGAAACCGUGUACGUACAAGCAGUGGGAGCACAGGUUUACCUGUGUGACUGCGUACCUUUUGUAUAAUGGGUCAGCGACUUAUAUUCUGUAGCAAGGUUAACCG
RNAcentral lists this ribosomal RNA (623 nucleotides) under Salmonella enterica subsp. enterica serovar Ohio. RNAcentral's name for it is "partial 23S ribosomal RNA". It matches the Rfam family "Bacterial large subunit ribosomal RNA", at positions 1 to 652 of the family's 2925-position model. The record is from RNAcentral. Lineage: Bacteria; Pseudomonadati; Pseudomonadota; Gammaproteobacteria; Enterobacterales; Enterobacteriaceae.